This 277-nucleotide unclassified non-coding RNA is filed under the name Bombus terrestris (buff-tailed bumblebee). Its description in RNAcentral is "misc RNA ENSBTSG00005038659.1". Lineage: Eukaryota; Metazoa; Arthropoda; Insecta; Hymenoptera; Apidae. The record is from RNAcentral.
AAGAAAAUCAUGGAUCUAAGAAGACCGAGGUACAUUUUAAUCUUCCUCGAUGGUUCGGCAUAAUAUGCUUCGAAAAUGCGCCGUUCGCGUCUCCGAGGAUACAACGUGUCUCAACCAAGGUGCAUUGCAGUCCUGUAAUUGGACACCACUAAUGCACCUCAACCUCGUUUGUCGAACGUGAAGGGAAUGAAAAGGAAGAAACAGGAAAGAUCGAGCAGCCGCAAAGAACGAGAGGGAAAGAAGGAAAAAGAGGAAGGAAGGAUGGAUGGAAAGGAGA